Molecule: ribosomal RNA, 402 nt
Filed under: uncultured bacterium
Lineage: Bacteria
Description: bacterial SSU rRNA
Rfam family: Bacterial small subunit ribosomal RNA
Source: RNAcentral
UCGGGAAUUUUGGGCAAUGGGCGAAAGCCUGACCCAGCAACGCCGCGUGAGGGAUGAAGUAUUUCGGUAUGUAAACCUCGAAAGAAUGGGAAGAAUAAAUGACGGUACCAUUUAUAAGCUCCGGCUAACUACGUGCCAGCAGCCGCGGUAAUACGUAGGGAGCAAGCGUUGUUCGGAUUUACUGGGCGUAAAGGGCGCGUAGGCGGCGCGGUAAGUCACUUGUGAAAUCUCUGAGCUUAACUCAGAACGGCCAAGUGAUACUGCUGUGCUAGAGUGCGGAAGAGGCAACCGGAAUUCUUGGUGUAGCGGUGAAAUGCGUAGAUAUCAAGAGGAACACCUGAGGCGAAGGCGGGUUGCUGGGCCGACACUGACGCUGAUGCACGAAAGCCAGGGGAGCAAACG